CUCUGAAUAAGCUUAAUUAUAAUUUGAUCAGCAGAGAAGUUGCUCAUAUCAUUGACAAAUGUGUGUGGUUCAAACAUGAAUGUUGGUUGAUAUUUCAUUUUUAUUCAUAAUUAAAAUGGAAAUGAGACAACAAAUAUGUAUGUUGGAACUUCACUUGUCUAUCAAUGACAUGAGCAACUUCUUUGCUGAAUUAGAUGAUAGUUUUUGAAUACUGGAAGAAUAUUUCCUGAAGUUUUUGUGCUCAUCACAAUGUAACAGACUCAGACAUAACACUCAUGUUAAUUCUUCUUCUUAUUAUUUUCUCCAUCACUUUCUUAAGUCUAGACCAAGAGUCAGCAAACCAUGGCCCUUGAGCCGAAUCUAGCCUGCUAUCUGGCUUUGCCAAUAAAGCCUGGAACAUAGCCACGUUCAUGACUUAUCCACGACUGCCUUUGCACUACAACAACAGGGUUGAGUGUUGCAACAGAGACCGUGUGGCCCACAAAGCCUAAAAUAUAUACUAUCUGGCCUUUUACAGACAACUUUUGCAGACCUCUGGUCCGGACAAUGAACAACCCAUAGAACAAGAUCUGAUUUGUAAUGUUUGCUGAUCUCCAAAGUGUAAAUACUCCCACCAUGACCAAUUGGAAGCCACUGACAAGUCCUCACUAAAUGCAGAAUUGAGAAGAAACACGAAUAGCACAUCAUUGUAUGGUAUUUCCACUCUACCAAUGGAUGUGAAUAACCUCAAGAACACAUAAUGUUGAGAUGUGGAAAAAUCAUCAGGAAGCCGUGAGUUUUGACUAUUUGCUUUUUAGCUAAUUAAUUAUAAGGUCACAUAAUUUAGUGUUUAAUAAUCACUAUGUUAACAACCAGCUCACAGCAUUCCUGAAAAUUUCACAGUUGGCUCCUGUAAGCUGAUAUGGCCAGCCCCAGCUCAUGACAGGUUACGGUAUGCUGUCAAUUGUGUGGAAAACGUAUCGGGAGGUCAUGACUGUAUAUCCACAUAAGCUUCUCUAUGCACAGAGUAUCUCUGGAAGAUGCAUAAGAAAUUGCAACAGCUGUUGCUUCCGCAGUGGGCAAAUGGAGGUCUGGGAGUUGAGUUGGGGAUGCACAUUUAUUUUUUACUAUAUGUUCUUUUGUAGAGAAUAUAAAUUGGUAUGAAUUUUUUAAGCAUAUGUCUGUGUUACCCUUAAAUCCCAAUGGAUCUUUUAUAAGCAAGCUCUUCCAUCUUUUUUUUCCCGAGUCUCCCCUUCACCCUGCAGUGUCUCUGCAAUGCUGGUAGAGUGGGCUGGCACAGCCCCCGCCUCUGGCCUGGUCCGGGUCCAACCUGCCUGCCUCCUGGGGCAGCAGCUCCCUGAACGAAGAGCCGCGGAGACCGAAGAACUCAGUGAAUCAGCAGUUCUCCCAGAUGAAACGCUGGCCUGAAAGCAGCCUCAAGAGCUUUGGCCCGUCACCUUGCCUUGCCUUCUCUUCCUUCCUCGUCCUCUGUUUGUUCAUCUUUCCUGAAAAAAUUAAGUCAGCUGUUCCCCUUAACCAAUUUCCCUGGCAUUCUGAAGGGUAGGCCACAUGGCCCACCUGCCAGCUACUCCCACCUGCCAAGCCUUCCUGACUAUAUUUACCCUGGUACUCCCAUGUCCCGGGGCUGCUUCAGCAGAGCCAAGGACACACCCAGGUGUUUGUUUUCUAGGUCAGAUUUCCUCAGCCAUGGGUGUAUCUGUGCUUGUCCCUCAAAAUCCUCAUAGCUCCUUUCCCCACCCCAACUUCCAGGCCAGACGGGGUUCAGGGGUGUCUCAGCUAAGGUUCCCCUGAAGCAGACACAAAUUAGUACAAAAGGGACUUAUUAGGAGGUGAUCCUUAAAAAUUUGGGCAGGAGAAUGGAAAGGGUGGACACAGACAAAAAGGAUGCCAAGUGAGAAUGUGAUGAUUACUGCUGCAGUUUUCUACAGCUGCCUGUCAAACUAUCCCAACACAGUGGCAUUGACCAGCAGCCAUUUUCGCUAUGCCCACAGCUUCUGUGGGUCAGGCGUUUGGACAGGGCAAUGGGAACAGCUUGUUUCUGUUCCAUAGUGUGUGAGGGAGGCCUCAACUGGAAAACUCAAAGACCGGGGUGGCUUGAUGACUGGAGGCUGGAACCAUCCGGAAGCUUCUUGAAGCUGGGUUGACUUACAUGUGGUCUUGCAUGUGAGUUGGGCUUUUCACAUCAUGGCUGUUGGGUUCCAAGAGGCAGUGUCUGGGGAACAAGAGUUCCAAGACACCAAGGCAGAAGCUGCUAGACCUUUUUUGACCUCGCUUCGGAUGUCAGCAAUGAAGUUCUGUGGAUUCAACUGCAUUCUAUUGGUUACCAGCAGUCGCUUGAAUCUGAUUAGCUCCAAAACUGAGUGAGCCUCUGGCAAGAGUGCAUUGCAGAAGGGCACAUCCAAUGAGAGGCGCUGCUGUAGUAACAGGGACCUCUCCAAUGGCCUGUUUGAGUGCUCUCAGAAUAUGGCACCUGGGUUCCUCCAGAGCAAGUGAUCUGAGAGAGAGCAAGGAGAAGGCCACUCUGCCUUUCAUGACUCAUCUCAGAAGUCACACACUAUCACAGGUUCUGUUCUGUUCAUUGGAAGUGAGUCAUGAAGUCCGGCCCACACUCAAGAGAAAGGAAAUUAUGCUCCUUCUUUUGAAAUGAGUGUAAGAAAGUAAAACUUUGUCAAAUGUGUAUGUGUGUGUGUGUGUGUGUCCCUAAACUAUGUGUCUUUUUUUUUAAUCUUUCCUAAAUGGAAUCACACUGUGAGUGUUCUGUGACUUGAAGUUUCACAAGACAUUAUAUUUCUGAAAUCCAUUCAUGUUGACACACUGUAUUAGUUUGCUCCAGCUGCCAUAACAAAAUACCACAGACUAGGGGCUUAAACAACAGAAAUUUACUUUCUCACCAGUUCUGGAGGCUGAAGUUCGAGAUCCAGGCAUGGGCAGGAUCAGUUUCUCCUGGGGCCUCUGUCCUCGGCUUGCAGAUGGCAUCUUCUCCCUGUGUCCCCACAUGGUCCUCCCUCUGUGUGAGUCUGUGUCUUCAUCUCCCCUUCUUAUAAGGACACCAAUCAGGUUGGAUUAGGGGCCACCCUAAAGACCUCACUUUAACUCAAUCACCUCUUUAAAGAACCCACCUCCAAAUAUAGUCCUGAGGUCCUGGGGGUUAGGACUUCAACAGAGGAAUGCUGGGGAGACACAAUUCAACCCAUAGCAUGCAUAUAAUUGUAGUUUGUUAAUUUUCACUACUCUAUAGUAUCCCAUUUUAUGAACAGACAAAAGUAUAUUAUUUAUUCUACCAACAAUGGAUAUUUUGGUUAUUUCCAGUUUUUUGUUAUUAUAGAUGAUACUGCCACAAGCAACCUGGCUCCCAUGAACAUGUAGCAUAUAUGCAUCUCUAUAUUUACUGUUAAUCCCAAUUCUUUUACAAAGUGGUUGCACCAGUUUACACUCCCACCAGCAGCAUAUCGGAGUUACUCCACAUUCUUACCAAUAUUUGGUAUGGUCAGAAUCCUUAACUUGCUAAUCUCAUGGUUGCAAAAUAAUAUCUCUUUUGUGGCUUUAAUUAGCCUUUCCCAGAUUACCAAUAAGGCAGUGAAUCUUUUCAUUUGUUUAUGAAAUGCUUUUUCAUUUCCUCUGUCCAUUUUUCCACUGGGUUGUUCACUCUGCCUUACUGAUUUGUCAAAAGUCUUCGCAUAUUGCAGUUGCAAUUACUUUGAUCACCUGUGGCUUGUCUUUUCAGAUUCUCUUGCCAAUUUUUGUCCACCUUGGCUCCUCUUCUUUUGCCCGUCUCUUGUUCGUGUCCCUCUUGGGUCCUGUUCUCUCCUUGUUCCACAUGUGAUCCCAUGUCAAUCAGUCCAAUGAAUAAAGUUUCCACUGCAUAUGCACCUGAAUCCUAAGUCUAUAUCUUCAAAAUAGCUCUUAAAAUCCACUGAACUCAGCCAGGUGCAGUGGCUCAUGCCUGUAAUCCCAGCACUUUGGGAGGCUGAGGUGGGCAGAUCACAUAAGGCCAGGAGUUCGAG
Molecule: long non-coding RNA, 4004 nt
Filed under: Homo sapiens (human)
Lineage: Eukaryota; Metazoa; Chordata; Mammalia; Primates; Hominidae
Description: long non-coding RNA NONHSAT206708.1
Source: RNAcentral